AGAGUUUGAUCAUGGCUCAGAUUGAACGCUGGCGGCAUGCCUUACACAUGCAAGUCGAACGGCAGCAUAGGAGCUUGCUCCUGAUGGCGAGUGGCGAACGGGUGAGUAAUAUAUCGGAACGUGCCCUAGAGUGGGGGAUAACUAGUCGAAAGACUAGCUAAUACCGCAUACGAUCUACGGAUGAAAGUGGGGGAUCGCAAGACCUCAUGCCCCUGGAGCGGCCGAUAUCUGAUUAGCUAGUUGGUGGGGUAAAAGCCUACCAAGGCAACGAUCAGUAGCUGGUCUGAGAGGACGACCAGCCACACUGGGACUGAGACACGGCCCAGACUCCUACGGGAGGCAGCAGUGGGGAAUUUUGGACAAUGGGGGCAACCCUGAUCCAGCAAUGCCGCGUGAGUGAAGAAGGCCUUCGGGUUGUAAAGCUCUUUUGUCAGGGAAGAAACGGUAGUAGCGAAUAACUAUUACUAAUGACAGUACCUGAAGAAUAAGCACCGGCUAACUACGUGCCAGCAGCCGCGGUAAU
RNAcentral lists this ribosomal RNA (523 nucleotides) under uncultured bacterium. RNAcentral's name for it is "bacterial SSU rRNA". It matches the Rfam family "Bacterial small subunit ribosomal RNA", at positions 8 to 524 of the family's 1533-position model. The record is from RNAcentral.